RNAcentral lists this ribosomal RNA (1085 nucleotides) under Citrobacter sp. wls715. RNAcentral's name for it is "partial 23S ribosomal RNA". It matches the Rfam family "Bacterial large subunit ribosomal RNA", at positions 1762 to 2839 of the family's 2925-position model. Lineage: Bacteria; Pseudomonadati; Pseudomonadota; Gammaproteobacteria; Enterobacterales; Enterobacteriaceae. The record is from RNAcentral.
UGGAGCUGAAAUCAGUCGAAGAUACCAGCUGGCUGCAACUGUUUAUUAAAAACACAGCACUGUGCAAACACGAAAGUGGACGUAUACGGUGUGACGCCUGCCCGGUGCCGGAAGGUUAAUUGAUGGGGUUAUCCGUAAGGAGAAGCUCUUGAUCGAAGCCCCGGUAAACGGCGGCCGUAACUAUAACGGUCCUAAGGUAGCGAAAUUCCUUGUCGGGUAAGUUCCGACCUGCACGAAUGGCGUAAUGAUGGCCAGGCUGUCUCCACCCGAGACUCAGUGAAAUUGAACUCGCUGUGAAGAUGCAGUGUACCCGCGGCAAGACGGAAAGACCCCGUGAACCUUUACUAUAGCUUGACACUGAACACUGGUCCUUGAUGUGUAGGAUAGGUGGGAGGCUUUGAAGUGUGGACGCCAGUCUGCAUGGAGCCAACCUUGAAAUACCACCCUUUAAUGGCUGGUGUUCUAACGUGGGCCCGUAAUCCGGGUUGCGGACAGUGUCUGGUGGGUAGUUUGACUGGGGCGGUCUCCUCCUAAAGAGUAACGGAGGAGCACGAAGGUUAGCUAAUCCUGGUCGGACAUCAGGAGGUUAGUGCAAAGGCAUAAGCUAGCUUGACUGCGAGAGUGACGGCUCGAGCAGGUGCGAAAGCAGGUCUUAGUGAUCCGGUGGUUCUGAAUGGAAGGGCCAUCGCUCAACGGAUAAAAGGUACUCCGGGGAUAACAGGCUGAUACCGCCCAAGAGUUCAUAUCGACGGCGGUGUUUGGCACCUCGAUGUCGGCUCAUCACAUCCUGGGGCUGAAGUAGGUCCCAAGGGUAUGGCUGUUCGCCAUUUAAAGUGGUACGCGAGCUGGGUUUAGAACGUCGUGAGACAGUUCGGUCCCUAUCUGCCGUGGGCGCUGGAGAAUUGAGGGGGGCUGCUCCUAGUACGAGAGGACCGGAGUGGACGCAUCACUGGUGUUCGGGUUGUCAUGCCAAUGGCAUUGCCCGGUAGCUAAAUGCGGAAGAGAUAAGUGCUGAAAGCAUCUAAGCACGAAACUUGCCCCGAGAUGAGUUCUCCCUGAGACUGUAAGUCUCCUGAAGGAACGUU